GACGAACGCUGACGGUGUGCUUUAGACAUGCAAGUCGAGCGAGAAAGCCCUUCGGGGUUAGUAAAGCGGCGAACGGGUGAGUAACACGUGGGCAAUCUGCCCCUCGCAGGGGGACGAACCGGGGGAAACGUCCGGCUAAUACCCCGUAACGUUUCCAGAGUCGCAUGGCUUUGGAAAGAAAGGUAGCUUCGGCCAUCCGGCGAGGGAUGAGCCCGCGGUACAUUAGCUAGUUGGGUGGGGUAACGGCCUACCAAGGCGGCGANGUAUAGCUGGUCUGAGAGGAUGAUCAGCCACACUGGGACUGAGACACGGCCCAGACUCCUACGGGAGGCAGCAGUCGGGAAUCUUGCACAAUGGGCGAAAGCCUGAUGCAGCAAC
RNAcentral lists this ribosomal RNA (378 nucleotides) under uncultured bacterium. RNAcentral describes it as "bacterial SSU rRNA". It matches the Rfam family "Bacterial small subunit ribosomal RNA", at positions 28 to 395 of the family's 1533-position model. The record is from RNAcentral.